UACGUAGGGUGCGAGCGUUAAUCGGAAUUACUGGGCGUAAAGCGUGCGCAGGCGGUUAUUUAAGUCAGGUGUGAAAGCCCCGGGCUCAACCUGGGAAUUGCAUUUGAGACUGAAUAGCUAGGGUGCGGAAGAGGGAAGCGGAAUUUCCGGUGUAGCGGUGAAAUGCGUAGAUAUCGGAAGGAACACCAGUGGCGAAAGCGGCUUCCUGGUCCAGCACCGACGUUCAGGCACGAAAGCGUGGGGAGCAAACAGG
RNAcentral lists this ribosomal RNA (253 nucleotides) under uncultured bacterium. RNAcentral describes it as "partial 16S ribosomal RNA". It matches the Rfam family "Bacterial small subunit ribosomal RNA", at positions 524 to 776 of the family's 1533-position model. The record is from RNAcentral.